RNAcentral lists this ribosomal RNA (253 nucleotides) under uncultured bacterium. RNAcentral describes it as "partial 16S ribosomal RNA". It matches the Rfam family "Bacterial small subunit ribosomal RNA", at positions 524 to 776 of the family's 1533-position model. The record is from RNAcentral.
AACGUAGGAGACAAACGUUAUCCGGAGUUACUGGGCGUAAAGGGCGUGCAGGUGGUCUGUUAAGUCUGGCGUGAAAGCUCUCGGCUAAACCGGGAGAGGUCGUUGGAUACUGGCGGACUAGAGGACGGUAGAGGUGUGUGGAAUUCCGGGUGUAGUGGUGAAAUGCGUAGAUAUGGGGAGGAACACCGGUGGCGAAGGCGGCCACCUGGCCAGAUACUGACGCUGAGACGCGAAAGCGUGGGUAGCAGACAGG